Cydia fagiglandana is the source of this 298-nucleotide long non-coding RNA. RefSeq lists it as uncharacterized. NCBI's taxonomy places the organism in Eukaryota, Metazoa, Arthropoda, Insecta, Lepidoptera, Tortricidae. The record is from RefSeq and is a predicted model, not a curated record. The transcript has 2 exons.
CGCACUGUGGGACGAAAUUCGGCUCUCAUUGACAUAAAAACCGAAGUUGUUAUUUUUAUUUUUUUUUAUUGAAAUAUGUUUUGCUAGGCAUUGUUAUGGUAACCUAUGAAUUUUAGACGAUUUGGAAUGAAAAUUGUCCAGUUACGAUUUUUUUUCAAAAACAAUGUAUGGAGCAGGAACAAGAAAUCAUUAUUACUCAAGAACCGCAAAACAAACCGUAAUAUCCUCGCAAGUGGUUAUACUACGAAUUAUUUGUGAUUUUUUGGCAUAUUACAUAUAUCCGUCACGGGUGCGGUUU